RNAcentral lists this small nucleolar RNA (107 nucleotides) under Ancylostoma ceylanicum. Its description in RNAcentral is "Small nucleolar RNA sn2524". It matches the Rfam family "Small nucleolar RNA sn2524". The record is from Rfam by way of RNAcentral. Lineage: Eukaryota; Metazoa; Nematoda; Chromadorea; Rhabditida; Ancylostomatidae.
CGUUUAAAAAGACUCACUCAAAAGUUGAAGGAGCAUCACUGUUUUGAUCUUUCUUCAUUUGUACUAGGAAUGCGUCUACAAAAUCUCCUCCUUCUCCUUCAAUGACG